This 254-nucleotide ribosomal RNA is filed under the name uncultured bacterium. RNAcentral's name for it is "partial 16S ribosomal RNA". It matches the Rfam family "Bacterial small subunit ribosomal RNA", at positions 524 to 776 of the family's 1533-position model. The record is from RNAcentral.
UACGUAGGGUGCGAGCGUUGUCCGGAAUUACUGGGCGUAAAGAGCUUGUAGGUGGUUUGUCCGCGUUGUUCGUGAAAUCUCACGGCUUAACUGUGAGCGUGCGGGCGAUACGGGCAGACUAGAGUACUGCAGGGGAGACUGGAAUUCCUGGUGUAGCGGUGGAAUGCGCAGAUAUCAGGAGGAACACCGGUGGCGAAGGCGGGUCUCUGGGCAGUAACUGACGCUGAGAAGCGAAAGCGUGGGGAGCGAACAGG